GUGUUUGUCACGUUUCCGGAUGUGAAUGGAAACGGGACCCUGUCUCGUUUUGGACAACAGAUUAUCGCGAGCAUGAGGAACGGAUACGUUCGACUAAGACGAUCUGUUUGUGAUACUCGAUCGAACUAGCGAAUAAAAUUC
Molecule: long non-coding RNA, 141 nt
Organism: Bombus impatiens (common eastern bumble bee)
Lineage: Eukaryota; Metazoa; Arthropoda; Insecta; Hymenoptera; Apidae
Exons: 3
Source: RefSeq, a predicted model, not a curated record